This 77-nucleotide transfer RNA is filed under the name Bacteroidales bacterium. RNAcentral's name for it is "tRNA-OTHER". It matches the Rfam family "tRNA". Rfam says of the family: Transfer RNA (tRNA) molecules are approximately 80 nucleotides in length. Their secondary structure includes four short double-helical elements and three loops (D, anti-codon, and T loops). The record is from RNAcentral. Lineage: Bacteria; Pseudomonadati; Bacteroidota; Bacteroidia; Bacteroidales.
UCGCGGGUAGCUCAGUGGUAAGAGCGCCGUCUGAUUGGAAUGACGGGUAGUCGUGGGUUCGAAUCCCACCCCGCGAG